UGCAAUUUGUGUAUGAAUAACAGAAUAAUUUCCCUCUUUUGUUUCGCCUUUCCUGUUCCUGAAUCUAAAUAAAGAUGGCUUUUUAGUAUUAAAAGUGGAAGAAAAUUACAGGUAAUUAUCUUUGACGGUAAAAACGCUGUAAUCAGCGGGCUACAUGAAAAAUUACUCUAAUUAUGGCUGCAUUUAAGAGAAUGGAAAAAAACCUUCUUGUGGAUAAAAACCUUAAAUUGUCCCCAAUGUCUGCUUCAAAUUGGAUGGCACUGCAGCUGGAGGCUUUGUUCAGCAUUGAUCCUGGGGAGCUACGAACCCAAAGUUUCACAGUAGGAAGGGGGAAAAAAGAAAAGAAAACAUUUUUCCUAAUGUAACAAUGCGAAUGCUAGAAAAUGACAAGACUGAUCGGCUCUAAACCAUUCUGAAGACUGACUGAGCGUGGAAGUUGCUCAACAAAAAAAGGAACGGGUAUAUUGGUGGAAGACAGGACCAGAGUGCAGCAGUCUGUUCAGUGGACAGUGUGUAAGCUGAAGCCAGGCCUGGCCUGUGCAGGACUCCGGAGGCUGAGGUCACCGGAUCCCUGACUCACUGGAGCUCAGAAAUGGACGACAUGCUGCUGAGAACCAGAGGGAAGCCUACUCCUUUGGAAGAGCAUUUCCCUAGAUUACUUCACCACUGCUGGGGAUCCCCUUGAACACUGGUCCCUGAACGCCAGCUUCCAGAAGAUUCCAUGGAUGGCCAUCCAGUCUUAUCCACUGCAGUUUUCCCUCUGCACUUCCUUCUUUAAUUCCUUCGCUUCAGCGAGGCUCUCAUCAGGGUCAGAUCAGAGAUGGACCAGCUGGACCACAGAUUGGAGGACUGACCUCUUAGAGUGCCAACAGUCAACAGUGUGCUGUCCGACCCAUAGAAAGAUAAGAAGAAGAAGAAAAUAUGCUAUGUGGAAGGGAGAGGAAUGGUCUGAUAAUUCCUUAGAGGCUGAAAGUGAGGAACAACCAAAUUUAGAGGAAUGUGACAUUUUCCUGCAGGGCUUCUCUUUUGUCCCUACUGAGAUAUAUAAUCUGGGUGUUUCUGCUGGACUGUGAUUCAGGAGACUAAGUCUUCUAGUGGUCCUCCUGCUAGUAAGAAACACCAACCCAUUGGUCUCUGUAUUGCUUCUCUGCACUGUAGAUCUGCACUUUUGACCUGGAAGAUGUUGGCCUUGACUCUUGUAGGAUCAAGGUCAAUGAUAACAGUAGUUCAAACCUUCCCCAACUUUGUGUUUAUAGAUCAGGUGGUGACAUCCUGUACUGAGUUUGUUAGAGCAAUGGAGUCACAGGGUGGAACUGAACUCUUAAAAUAUUUGGCUAACUGAACUCUUAAAAUAUUUGGCUGAAACAUGAUAUUGCUAGUUAUGUAGAAGACAGCAUUAUGGAACAUGAUUGGAAUCAUGAAACAAGUUACUACUGGUUAUAUUUUGCAAUCCAGCAACUCGCUAAGGACAGUGUAGACUCUACAGAAACUGGGAGCAGGUAGACAUGGUUCUUUUCUCAUGGAGCUUACACUCCAGUGUCCCUGUAGGUGUGAAAAACAGUGGCUAUAGCAUAUGCAUGGCCACUAGUUGGGGAGGAGUUCCUAAUGCUGUAGUCAUAGCCAGUGACCAAGUAUCUCUAAGCCUACCUUUUAUAAGCAAUCUAUGGACAUGGACUGCUUUUCCCUAGCCAAAGUCCUGGGAUAUCAGGGGAAGUGCUUGAGGUUUGCAGCUUCUGGGGAGGGAAAUAUGAAAUGAUUUAGACCAGGGAACAAAAAGGGAUGGGAUUCACAACCAACUAUUGCUUUUAUUCUGUGUAGAAAUUACAGUAUGAAAUAUGCUGGGCUGGGAAACUUUGACACCUUGGUAUUAUUCCUUCCUUCCUUCCUUCCUUCCUUCCUUCCUUCCUUCCUUCCUUCCUUCCUUCCUUCCUUCCUUCCUUCCUUCCUCUCCUUACUUUCCUUCUCCUCCUCCUCCUUUUUUUUUUAUAAUACUAAAAAGCUAUGUGAUUGUAGGCAAGCCAUUUCCCAUUCCCUGUGGAUGUCUCUUGAGUGACUUUAAAAGCCCUUCUAGUUCUGAAAGUCUUUUUGUUGUUGUUGUUGUUGAUUUGUUUGUUUUUUCAAGACAAUGUUUCUCUGUGUAGCUUUGG
Long non-coding RNA from Peromyscus leucopus (white-footed mouse), 2147 nucleotides. RefSeq lists it as uncharacterized. The record is from RefSeq and is a predicted model, not a curated record. The transcript has 3 exons. NCBI's taxonomy places the organism in Eukaryota, Metazoa, Chordata, Mammalia, Rodentia, Cricetidae.